AGUACCGAGUCAAGUGUGAGGAAUUGACACCAAACCAUAGGCUUUUGGUCCUGGCACCAUAUCCGACACCAGUUGGUCUGAAAGACCAGGUCAAUGUGUGGAGGAAGCAGAAUAGAAAUGUUUCUAUGGUCAUGUUUGAUCAGCGGAACGUAAUGGAUAAGGAGCUUGAAAAUAUACCGGAUAUGCCAUUUAGUUUGCUGCAUAAUGGGGUCUGGGGAAGUGAGUACUACUUGCCUGUGUCCGAUUCGGUUCCAACUAAAAAUACAGUGGCGUUACGUUGCUCCCAACUGGGAGACCUCAACUCGCUAAGCUGGGCAGAAGUCAGCGAACCAGUGGAAAAGCGCGGAGUUGAUGUUACGGUACACUAUGCUGGACUCACCGCUAUGGAUGCAUCGAAAGCACUUGCAGAAACACCAGAAGGAUUGGUAAAAGAAGGAUUUGGAAUGGACUUCAGUGGAGUUACUGCAAGGGGUGAGCGAGUAAUGGGAUUGUUACCAAGAGGAGCAGCUUCUAAUAAAGUGCGUGUCGAUCCUAACAUGUUGUGGCCUGUACCAUCCCACUGGACUUUGGAAGACGCUGCCACUGUUCCGUAUGCCUACGCGCAUGCUAUUUAU
Ostrinia nubilalis (European corn borer) is the source of this 614-nucleotide long non-coding RNA. RefSeq lists it as uncharacterized. The record is from RefSeq and is a predicted model, not a curated record. NCBI's taxonomy places the organism in Eukaryota, Metazoa, Arthropoda, Insecta, Lepidoptera, Crambidae. The transcript is spliced from 4 exons.